GACGAACGCUGGCGGCGUGCUUAACACAUGCAAGUCGAACGGAAAGGCCCUGCUUUUGUGGGGUGCUCGAGUGGCGAACGGGUGAGUAACACGUGAGUAACCUGCCCUUGACUUUGGGAUAACUUCAGGAACUGGGGCUAAUACCGGAAAGGAGCUUCUGCUGCCUGGUGGGGGUUGGAAAGUUUCGGCGGUUGGGGAUGGACUCGCGGCUUAUCAGCUUGUUGGUGGGGUAGUGGCUUACCAAGGCUUUGACGGGUAGCCGGCCUGAGAGGGUGACCGGCCACAUUGGGACUGAGAUACGGCCCAGACUCCUACGGGAGGCAGCAGUGGGGAAUAUUGCACAAUGGGCGGAAGCCUGAUGCAGCAACGCCGCGUGCGGGAUGACGGCCUUCGGGUUGUAAACCGCUUUCGCCUGUGACGAAGCGUGAGUGACGGUAAUGGGUAAAGAAGCACCGGCUAACUACGUG
RNAcentral lists this ribosomal RNA (467 nucleotides) under uncultured bacterium. RNAcentral's name for it is "partial 16S ribosomal RNA". It matches the Rfam family "Bacterial small subunit ribosomal RNA", at positions 28 to 507 of the family's 1533-position model. The record is from RNAcentral.